RNAcentral lists this ribosomal RNA (253 nucleotides) under uncultured bacterium. Its description in RNAcentral is "partial 16S ribosomal RNA". It matches the Rfam family "Bacterial small subunit ribosomal RNA", at positions 524 to 776 of the family's 1533-position model. The record is from RNAcentral.
UACGGGGGGGGCAAGCGUUGUUCGGAAUUACUGGGCGUAAAGGGUUCGUAGGUGGCCUGCUAAGUCGGACGUGAAAUCCCUCGGCUCAACCGGGGAACUGCGUCCGAUACUGGUGGGCUCGAGUGCAGGAGAGGAACGCGGAAUUCCAGGUGUAGCGGUGAAAUGCGUAGAUAUCGGGAGGAACACCAGUGGCGAAGGCGACUAUCUGGGCUGCAACUGACGCUGAGGCGCGAAGGCUAGGGUAGCAAACAGG